This is a long non-coding RNA of Humulus lupulus (European hop), 8003 nucleotides long. RefSeq lists it as uncharacterized. Lineage: Eukaryota; Viridiplantae; Streptophyta; Magnoliopsida; Rosales; Cannabaceae. The record is from RefSeq and is a predicted model, not a curated record. The transcript is spliced from 2 exons.
UUAGAAACCGCGUACACCACCCAUUCACCCACCGCCUCUUUUGAUUCCGAAAAAAUAAUAAUUCAACCCACUCUAGGAGGCCGCGUUCUCCUCAACCGCCAGAUCUUUUAUCAUAGCUUAAUCUUGCCCGUCCAUAUACACAUCUUCUGCUAUAAAUAGUCUUGGCUUCUCUUUUAAUCGUUACCCCAUUGAAGUUUCGAGAAUGGGGUCAUCUCUUUCCUCUUCUCUCCGAUGUAAGAGUUUUGAUCUUUCCAUCUGGUAUUGAUUGCUUAUCAUGACUUCGUUCUUCUAUCGAUAUUCUUGUGCCUGGUUAAUCUUCGUAUGCGUUUUAUAUGGAUCGGUUAGCGAUCUCUGUCGAAAUUGAUUUAUGCAGAGAGGAUCGUUGAUUUACACUUGGGAUUUUGUUUAGAUCGGUUUGGUUCUCGAUCGCUACCCGCCUUUGUUAUUUGAUUCCUUCGUUAUUUAGGGAUUCUUUUGUCACCGUUUGGAUUUUUGGUUUAUUCAGCUUAUGGUGGCCUUGGGCUUUGUUUGGUUUCAUUAUAUGUUGAAAUAUGCAGAUUAUGGCUACUACUAUUGAGUGUGGCUUUCACAUUAUACCUGAAAAUUUCUUCAAUAACAUUGUUCGAGGGUUGGCUUGGAUUGUUGAGGCUGGGAGUAGCUUGAUAGAAUGCCCCGUAUGUCGUGAUGUCUCAGGUUUUUUGGUUGAUUGAUAUUGUCAAUGCAGAAAUAUAUUCAUAAAAUAUAUGAAAUUUCCAGAUUUAUUGCAUCAAAUCCUCUGUCUUCUUUGAAGUCGUGUGAAGAAUUUUGCUCCAGUUUAUAUGUCCUCUGCUUAGAGGUUGGGCAAGAAGGUUUCAAGUAAUGUUAAAGUUUUGCCAAUUCCUUGUCUUACCCAACGUUUGACUUUGUUACUCUAAAAUCGUUUUUAAUGUUAGAUAUUCACAAGUUUGGUUUCAACCAUUGAUGCUUCACAGGAUGGACGGAUGGUUUGAUUUACUUUUUAUAUUAUAUACAUAUAUUUUCAAAUGAACUUUCAGGUUGUUAAUGCAUCUCUACGGGUUUGAUAUAGUAUCGUCAUUCUUUCUUCAUCGUGCUUUGUUUUACAUUUCUUUCUACCAACAUUUUUGAGGUUUUUUGUAUGUUUUCACUUUUUAGGUGAUCGGGAGAAUGGUUCAAGGUUUUUUUUUCCUUGGAUUGUGGAGGGGGUGCAAAAUGAUUCUUUCAAUUCUUAUUCAAUCAUCCUUGUUUUUUUCUAGGCGUUUUUUUUCCUAUGUUGUCUAUCUUAGUACAUGCAUUUUGUUCAAUAAUUUCAGGUUCUCGACUUCGUAAGGCAUCAGUCUUCUUUUCUUGGGUCUAUUUAAACAAGAAUAAACCUUGGAAGGGAGUUGACUUCCUAGUGUUUCCUUUUAAAUGGAUUUUUAUCUUUUCUAGAAUUGAAGCUUCGGACUUUGUGAGAUAUAUGGGUUCAUGUCUCUUCUUUUGGGCGUUCAAUGAAUUUUCAGGGUUCUGCUUUUACUCAAGAAUAUUAUUAUAGGCUGUUGAUAAGCCCUGGAUGCUUUAGUCGUCAUGCUGCAAGCCUCAAAUGUCUUCCUCUGCGGGGUAGAUAUGUUUCAUCACCUUUUUAUCUCGAUGUUGUGAGAAUUAUAUUUUUUGGAAAGAUUGGGUUAUGAUUUGUGAUCCGUAUAUAUUUCACAGAUGAUUCUUUAGAGCAUUGCCGAUUGUUGAUCUGCACUUGGGAAUUUGUAUUAGUAUUUAUAUGCAUUUUGUAGAGGUUCUGAGUCUCUGUGCAACCACUUCUGUGCAUUGUGUUUGUAACUAAUAGUUGUUUAUAACAACUGUGGGUUUUGUGGGUAUUCAUAUGAUUCAUGCAGAUCCCUCCGGUCUUUGAUUUUUAUGUGGGAUCUGGAGUUAUAUACAUAUUUGCGACCAUCACUUGUUGGACCUUCUCAUCAUAAGGUCAGAUAUUUAGUUUUUGACGUCUCGAUAUAAGUUCAGAUAAAUGGUUCUCGAUGAUUAUCUAUGGUAUAUUUUUCCUUGGAUUUUGAUCAAUGCAGAGCAUCGCCCGUGGCUGAUUUACACUUGGCACUUUACAUGCGUGUCUAUAUGCGAUUGGAAUUUCUGAUUUAUACAAACAGCAUCGACAGCUGUUGCUUUACUUUAGUACAUUCAAGACUUUGGUAGUGCAAAGGUUUUGUUCGACUUUGUUAAAAAAAAAGUGUUUUUACAGUCUAGCCGUUGGUAGUCGGCACCAUCUAAUUGCUGAAUUUAACUUGGGUUUCAUUUAUAUGAUUUGCAUAGAUGAUGCCGAUUUUUCGCUAUAUUGGGUCUGGAGAGAGAUCCAUAGUCGACCAUUGGGUAUGGUUUACUUUUUGAGUUGUUGGUUUAGUGUUCCCUUCUCUAUUGAAUUUUCUUGUUUUGGACUUAGAACAACAGUGCAGUUCUUAUGGAGAUAGCUGGAUAGUUGGCAUGAUUUCACAGAGUCGACAUUGGAUUUCCUUCAACCUACCUAUUUUGUGACAAAUAAGAAUUCUAGUUUUAUAUACUUCUCAUUUUUAAAAUUGACUUUCUUUGUCCCUCUAUGAUGGUAUUUUCUCAUUAGGUAAAAGUGUCAAUUUUUUUCCCAGUACUCAAUUGGCUCUCGACUAGAUAGAGCUCUUGUGCACUUAUUAAAGCUGGCCUAUGAUCGUGGUGUUCCCUUCUCAAUCUUAACUUCUAUGUUAACGUUUCCUUUUGAUAUUUUUAUUCAAACUUUUAUGAUUCCAAAGUUGUUUCGAGUUCUCUCAUUUUAGGUCAUCAAAAUUUCUAUCGAAGGCUUGAAGUACCUUUGGUGCUGGAGGAGGUUUGACAAAUCAUUAGUCUAAAUCUAGGCUUUAAUUUUUUCUUGAAGAUUUUCUUCUUUUUCUUCUUUUCUUUUCAAGUAUAUUUAUGCUGUUAGUGUUCGUGUUUUCUUUGUUAUUUCAGGCUCUUUGUUGAAAAUUUACAAUUUUUAGAAGGUUGUCCCUGCAAGAUCAUUAUGCCUAAUGAACUGCGUCUUCAUUAUUUGAUUAGUUGUUAUAGCUCAUGACCAAGUUCAUGUGACUUUUUCCUUUCAGGCUGUUGAGGUUUCUGCAAACUCAAUCUGUCCAAGUCCAAGUAUGCUUUUGCAAAAAUAAAAUUAAAAGUUGGAAAUUCACAUCUUCAACUUGCAUAUAUGCAUUAUUAUUUAUUAAUUAACUUAUAUAAAAUUGUUAUGUUUUUAACUUGCUGUCUUCAUCCUUAACUUAUUUUUCUUCUGUUCAUACAUUUAGGCUUUUUGUUCAUACAUGUUUUCGUUAUUCAGGCUAUUGGAUUUUAGUUGUUCACUGUUGUGGACUUGUGUUCGAAGGAUGUCUUUUGUUGGUUGGAGGGCUGCAACUUUCUUUUCUUUGGUCCAUUUAAGCAGCUUUAACCUUGUAUGGUCGUCUCUUAGAUUAUAUUUACUUGACAUAGCUUCUUUUUUAUUUUUUUGACGAUAUAGCAUUGAUCUGGACUGGUUUUUAUGCAUCAGUCUUCAAGGUGCGUUUUUCAGUCUUUUUCUUAUGUUUGGUGGAGUUUCCUAUUUGAACUACUGACUUAAAUUUGUAAUGUCAAAAUGUCUCCAGCAACCUUAAUUGUUUUAUUUUAUUUUUAAUGAAAUUUCAGGUUUUUUUUUCCAUUGUAGCUUUUCAUCUUUUUGGGUUUGACAUAGCAUCUCCACUCUUACAUUUACCUCUCCUUUUACUCGUUGUGAUUAAAGUAUUUGAAUUGUUCCAUUUCUUUCUGGCAUGAUCUUUUAGGGUUUCAGUAUUUUCUUACCUUUCUAGGCGAUUGCGAGAACGGUUCAAGGCUAUGAGUAUAUUUCUGUUUCAUGUUUGCUGGAUUGUGGAGGGGUGUAAAAUGAUUUCUUUCAUUUUAUAUUUUUCAAAUGAAUUUUCAGGUUCCUUCAGAAUACUGCGGCCUUUCAUCUUUAUGGGUUUGACACAGUAUCAUCAUCCUUUUGUCUCUCAUUUUGCUUAUUGUGCUUUGUUUUGCAUUUUUUUUUGUCUCCAUUUUUGAGUGUUGUUUUGUAUGUUUCUCUUUUUAGGUGGUCGUGAGAAUGGUUCAAGAUUUUUUGUGUCUGAUUGUGGAGGGGGUUGUAAAAUUAUUCUUUCAAUUCUUAUUCAAUCACCCUUGCUUUCUUCUAGGCGUUUUCUUAUUUACCGUCUAUCUUAGCAUAUGGAUUUUGUUCAAUAAUUUCAGGUUCUCGACUUUGUAAGGCCGACUUCUUUUCUCAACUCUAAGCAGACCAGAGUUUAGCCUUGGAAGGGAGUUGAGUUGGAUUAGUUUUUCAUUGUAAAUGGUUUUUUUUUUCUUUUCUAUAACUGCAGCUUGUGGGUACUUUGUGAGAUUUUUGUUUCAUGUCUUUGCUAUUGGGCGUUCAAUGAAUUUUCAGGGUUUUACUCUAGAAUAUUAUCAGUCUGUUGGUAAAUCCUGGAUGCUUUAGUCGUCAUGCUGCAAGUCUCAAAUGUCUUCAUCUUCUCCAUUCCCAUCAUUGCGAACUAGAUAUCAUCACCUUUUUAUCUCUUAAAACUGUGAGAACUAUAAUUUUUGGGAAGGUUAGGUGUGAUCAGUAUUUAUUUCACAGUUGAUUCUCAGGGCAUUGUCGAUUGUUGAUCUGCGCUUGGGAAUUUGUACUAGUAUUCAUAUGCGUUUUAUUGAGUUUCAGAGGUUCUGUGCAACACUUUUGUGCAUUGUGUUGGUAAUUAAUAGUUGAUUAUGUCUAUUGAGGGUUUUGUGGGUAUUCUAUAUGAAUUUUGCAGAUCCCUCUGGUCUUUGAUAUGUGGUAUCCCUCUGGUAUUCUAUAUGUGGGAUCUGUAUUUAUAUAAAUUUACGACCAUGACUUGUCGAACCUUCUUCAUUAUAAGAGCAUUGCCUGUGGUUGAUUUACACUUAGCACUUCUCAUUCGUGUCUAUAUGACAAUCGACAACUGUUUCAUUACACUCGGUACAUUAGAUUAGUAUCUGUAAGACUUUGGUUGUGCAAUGGCUUUGUUCGCUCAUUUUUUUGACUGGUUUUUAUUUCUAAUUGUUGAUUUAACUUGAGGUUUCAUUUAUAUGAUUUGUAUAGAUGAUGCUGAGUUGUUUUCCUUCUGGGGGCUGGGAUUGAGAUCCAUAGUCAACCUUUAGGUAUUGUUUGAUUUUUAGUGUUCAAGUUGUUUUUCCUUUCUUUCUUGAACUUUCUUCUUUUGGACUUGGAACAACAUUGCAGUUCUUAUGGAGAUAGCAGGCAUGAUUUCACAAGUCAACUGUGGAGCUCCUUCAACCUACCUAAUUUGUGAAGAAUAAGAACUCUAGUUUUCUAUACUUCUCAUUAUUUAAAUUGACUUUCUCUCGCUAUAUGAUGUAUUUUCUCAUUAGGUACAUGUGUCAUUUUUCCAGUACUCAUUUGGCUUUCGACUGGAUCGAGCUUUUGUAAACUAAUUAAAGCUAGCCUGUGAUGGUGGUGUUCCCUUAACUACUAUGUUAUCUUAUCCUUUGGUUUCCUUUUGGUCUUUUUGUAUAAACUUUAUGAUUCUGAGGCUUUUUUGAAUUCCCUCAUUUUAGGUUGUCAAAAUUUCUAUUCAAGACUUAAAAGUAUCUCUGUUGCUGGAGGAGGUUUGACUAGUCAUUAAACUAUAGUUUGAGCUUUUAUCUUUUCUUGAAGCUUUUCUUUUUGAUAUCUUUUAGGCUAUUAGUGUGUGUGUUUUGUUCAGUAAUUUCAAGCUCUUGUAAGUUACAAGUUUUAAGAAGACUGUUCAAUCAUUUUAUUAUUUUUAGGGGAGUUUUUGGUCCUAGUAAUUUUCAAAUUAACUGUUCAUCUUUUGCCUUCAGGUUUCUCUUAUGAUUAUGAGGAUGUUGGCCUUCUUAAGUUUAAUUAUGAUUGGGGAGUUCAUAUUUGAACUACGGACUUAGUAAUGUCAUAAUUUCAGUUUGUUUUCCCUAAUCUUUUCGUCUCUCGCAAUCAUCGACCUUGUUUUUCUGAAUACGUUGAUAAUGUUGAUAUACCUUUGUUUCAGGUUAUAGUCAUUGAGCUUCUUAUUAAUGGAUGGAUGGUUUGACAUAAACUCUACAUUAUAUUCUAUUGUGCUGUGAAUGUCUUCAGCGUUUUACCAAGUCAAGUUAUUCAAAAUUGCAGCUUUUCAUCUUAGCUCUUACAUUUACCGCUCCUUUUACUAAUUGUGUUUCAAUUAUUUGAAUUGGACCAUUUAUAUCUGAUAUGAUAUUUUAGGGUAUGUUUUUUCAUUUCUAGGCAAUCAAGCUAAUGGUUCAAGUUGACUAAUAUUUUUUGUUUCGUGUUGCUGGAUUUUAGCGGGGAUGUAAAAUGUUUCUUUCGUUUCAUGUUUAAUUGUCCUUGCUUUGCUGAUAUUUUCUUAGGCGUCAAUCUUCUUUCUUAGAUCUAUUUAUACAAGCAUUAAUCUUGGACUUUUUUUAUAUUUUCCUGUAGCAACCAUCUGUGUGCGAUUUUUUGUUCAUGUCUUUGCUUUGGGGCGUUCAAUGGAUUUUCAGGGUUCCGGUUCUAAUCAAGAUUAUUUUCAUAACCUUUUUGUUGUCAUGCCUGGGUUAACUGAUGUCUUCCUCUUCUCCAUUUCCAGCACUGUGGGUUAAACAUGUUUCUUAUGAUACUGUGGUUUAUUUUCACUAAACUUGAUUCAUGCAGAACAUUGUCAAUCGUUGGUUGGCACACUGAGCUGAGACUUGGAAUUAGUAUCUACAUUCAUUUAGUAGAAGUUCAGAGGUUCUGUUUGGUAUCUUUCAUGUGUUGUGCUGGUAUCUGAUAGUUUAUUUUGACUACGGAUAGUUUGUGGUUAUCUAUAUGAUUAAUGCAGAUGAGGCCAAUUUUUGAAUUAUCUAUGAGAUCUGUAUUUAGAUAUGCCACGUUGGGGUAUUAUGUAUUAUAGCUUUUGAGUUGAUUUCCCGAAUCUUUGAAUUUUCAUCUGAAUAAGCUACUCUUUUGGAUUUGAAGCAAUAUUGUAAAUUCUUUUUGUAAGAAUGUUGGUUUCAUGAAUUAACAUACAGUUGUGAACUCGUACUGUUGGAUUGGUUUGAUGCUCUCAGUAUAAGGUCAGAUAUCUGGUUCUUGAUUGAUAUCUUUCGUUUAUUUUCCCACAACUUUUGAUGUAUGCAGAGCAAGACAUCAACUGUUUGUGAGCUCAUUUGGUUCUCAGUACAAGGUUAGAUGUUUGGUUUUUAUCAUUGUCUACGGUUUUUCUCCUCAGCUCCACCAACAGCUGAUUAACUAUGUUUUUUUGUGUUUGGGACCUUGUACAUUGGUUUAGUGUCUCUAAUCCCUUGGAAGAUUAAUCUUAUUGUGAUGAAGCUCUUUUAAGUUUGUUAAUGUGAUUGUGGACUGGGUUUUUGGUGUCCGAUGAGUUUUGUGAUUUGUUUGAUGGUGUCCUAUCUUUGGUUCAUACCCUUUUUUAGGCUGGAGUGGUCUUAGGCUGCACUUCUCACGGAUCUUCUAUAUUAUAAUGCUCGGGGGAGUUCUAUAUUUAAAGAAAAAUUGGUGAAUUUCUGAAUUGAGAUUCGUUUGGUGGUGAUAUUCUUUUUUUCCAACUUUAUAUCAAGAGGGUGGGUGAUUGACAAUCAUGAUCGUGUUAACUGCAAGAUGAUAUCGUUCUCUGUUGUGUAUUCUCUGUUAUUCAUUCUGUUUCUAAGUGGUUUUCUUGAACAUAUAGGGUAUAGUUGGUUUGAGACAUUGGAGACGCUAUAGUGUCGUGUUAUUCAGUCAAAUCCUUAUCGUGGUACAGGCUUGACGUUUGAAGUUGUCUUGUGAUUAUUAACUGAUCUGUUGGAUUUACUUUCUGUGGAGCACAUUUGAUGUUUGAAGUCGUCUUAUGAUUGUGGUAGUUCACGUCUUAUAAGUAAUAUACCCUUUUUUUCAUAAUAAUUUGUAAUUGUUAUUUUUUGGGACUGUACGUCGAUCUCCAAUUUGAGUUCUUAUUGCUCGUCAUAUUACUAUUAAUAUUAUCUUGAGAAUAUUUAUUCCCGAA